RNAcentral lists this ribosomal RNA (386 nucleotides) under uncultured bacterium. Its description in RNAcentral is "bacterial SSU rRNA". It matches the Rfam family "Bacterial small subunit ribosomal RNA", at positions 29 to 417 of the family's 1533-position model. The record is from RNAcentral.
AUUGAACGCUGGCGGAAUGCUUUACACAUGCAAGUCGAGCGGCAGCGCGGGGCAACCUGGCGGCGAGCGGCGAACGGGUGAGUAAUGCAUCGGAACAUGUCCAUGUCGUGGGGGAUAGCCCGGCGAAAGCCGGAUUAAUACCGCAUACGCCCGAGAGGGGAAAGCAGGGGACCGCAAGGCCUUGCGCGAUUGGGUUGGCCGAUGUCCGAUUAGCUUGUUGGUGAGGUAAAGGCUUACCAAGGCGAUGAUCGGUAGCUGGUCUGAGAGGAUGAUCAGCCACACUGGGACUGAGACACGGCCCAGACUCCUACGGGAGGCAGCAGUGGGGAAUUUUGGACAAUGGGGGCAACCCUGAUCCAGCCAUUCCGCGUGAGUGAAGAAGGCCU